AGUGAACGCUGGCGGUAGGCCUAACACAUGCAAGUCGAACGGCAGCACAGUAAGAGCUUGCUCUUACGGGUGGCGAGUGGCGGACGGGUGAGGAAUACAUCGGAAUCUACUUUUUCGUGGGGGAUAACGUAGGGAAACUUACGCUAAUACCGCAUACGACCUACGGGUGAAAGCAGGGGAUCUUCGGACCUUGCGCGAUUGAAUGAGCCGAUGUCGGAUUAGCUAGUUGGCGGGGUAAAGGCCCACCAAGUCGACGAUCCGUAGCGGGUCUGAGAGGAUGGUCAGCCACACUGGAACUGAGACACGGUCCAGACUCCUACGGGAGGCAGCAGUGGGGAAUAUUGGACAAUGGGCGCAAGCCUGAUCCAGCCAUACCGCGUGGGUGAAGAAGGCCUUCGGGUUGUAAAGCCCUUUUGUUGGGAAAGAAAAGCAGCAGGUUAAUACCCCGCUGUUCUGACGGUACCCAAAGAAUAAGCACCGGCUAACUUCGUG
RNAcentral lists this ribosomal RNA (492 nucleotides) under uncultured bacterium. Its description in RNAcentral is "partial 16S ribosomal RNA". It matches the Rfam family "Bacterial small subunit ribosomal RNA", at positions 29 to 507 of the family's 1533-position model. The record is from RNAcentral.